RNAcentral lists this ribosomal RNA (269 nucleotides) under uncultured prokaryote. Its description in RNAcentral is "partial 16S ribosomal RNA". It matches the Rfam family "Bacterial small subunit ribosomal RNA", at positions 524 to 792 of the family's 1533-position model. The record is from RNAcentral.
UACGUAGGGUGCGAGCGUUGUCCGGAAUUAUUGGGCGUAAAGAGCUUGUAGGCGGUUUGUCGCGUCUGCUGUGAAAAUCCGGGGCUCAACCCCGGACUUGCAGUGGGUACGGGCAGACUAGAGUGUGGUAGGGGAGACUGGAAUUCCUGGUGUAGCGGUGAAAUGCGCAGAUAUCAGGAGGAACGCCGAUGGCGAAGGCAGGUCUCUGGGCCACUACUGACGCUGAGAAGCGAAGGCAUGGGGAGCGAACAGGAUUAGAUACCCCCGUA